GGUGGCUCACGGGUAGAGCACUUGCCUUGCAUGCAUGAGGCCCUGGGUUCGAUUCCUCAGCACCA
This 65-nucleotide transfer RNA is filed under the name Dipodomys ordii (Ord's kangaroo rat). It matches the Rfam family "tRNA". From Rfam's summary of the family: Transfer RNA (tRNA) molecules are approximately 80 nucleotides in length. Their secondary structure includes four short double-helical elements and three loops (D, anti-codon, and T loops). Further hydrogen bonds mediate the characteristic L-shaped molecular structure. tRNAs have two regions of fundamental functional importance: the anti-codon, which is responsible for specific mRNA codon recognition, and the 3' end, to which the tRNAs corresponding amino acid is attached (by aminoacyl-tRNA synthetases). tRNAs cope with the degeneracy of the genetic code in two manners: having more than one tRNA (with a specific anti-codon) for a particular amino acid; and 'wobble' base-pairing, i.e. permitting non-standard base-pairing at the 3rd anti-codon position. Lineage: Eukaryota; Metazoa; Chordata; Mammalia; Rodentia; Heteromyidae. The record is from Rfam by way of RNAcentral.